CUUAUGGGAAAGUUAUCAGUACAGAUUCACAUUCACUUCAGAACCACGAUAUGGCCUUGAAGUCCUUCCAUAUUAUGACACGGCUGUACCACCAUGAGAUGGCCAAGUUGUUCCUGAAGAGCAUUCGUGGCAACGACAUAACUGAGGUCACAGUAGCACUCCAGAUUUUCAGAGAUGUAUUCCAGGAGGUGCCCCAGACCGUGGAGCUAAAGGAUGAAGUCAUGCAGACUGUGAUAAAUUUAAUUAAGGAGGACACCAAAGCAGU
Molecule: long non-coding RNA, 265 nt
Organism: Trichosurus vulpecula (common brushtail)
Lineage: Eukaryota; Metazoa; Chordata; Mammalia; Diprotodontia; Phalangeridae
Exons: 3
Source: RefSeq, a predicted model, not a curated record